This 282-nucleotide long non-coding RNA is filed under the name Aquilegia coerulea. RNAcentral's name for it is "long non-coding RNA (ACOE_LNC000476)". Lineage: Eukaryota; Viridiplantae; Streptophyta; Magnoliopsida; Ranunculales; Ranunculaceae. The record is from RNAcentral.
UAUCACAACGCUUGGGAAGAAGUUCAUCUUGAUACUCAUCUCAUGAUCCCCACUUUCUUCCGAGAGGUGCAUGACAUUGAGUACCUCAACCACACAAACCUAGCUCUCAUCCAAAAGGAAAAAUUUGCAUGUACCCAAAAGAUUACCGACCUAUCAACUUGUGCAAUGUUUCAUAUAAGAUCAUCUCGAAAAUCCUAGCCAAUAGUCUCAAAGCCAUCCUUCCAAAAAUUGUGAGCAAUCGACAGAUCAUGUAUAAUAGUGUAAUUGCUCAUGAAUGACCAU